AUCCAACUGACGAAUCUCAAAUGGGACGAAACGCGCGUCCUGAAG
RNAcentral lists this non-coding RNA (45 nucleotides) under Schistosoma haematobium. Lineage: Eukaryota; Metazoa; Platyhelminthes; Trematoda; Strigeidida; Schistosomatidae. The record is from RNAcentral.